Molecule: ribosomal RNA, 250 nt
Filed under: uncultured bacterium
Lineage: Bacteria
Description: partial 16S ribosomal RNA
Rfam family: Bacterial small subunit ribosomal RNA
Source: RNAcentral
AUGAAUACUAGGUGUUGGCAUCCAAAGGAUGUCGGUGCCGUCGCAAACGCAAUAAGUAUUCCACCUGGGGAGUACGUUCGCAAGAAUGAAACUCAAAGGAAUUGACGGGGACCCGCACAAGCAGUGGAGCAUGUGGUUUAAUUCGAAGCAACGCGAAGAACCUUACCAAGUCUUGACAUCCCGAUGACCGGCCUGUAAAGAGGCCUUCUCUUCGGAGCAUUGGAGACAGGUGGUGCAUGGCUGUCGUCAG